Molecule: long non-coding RNA, 1111 nt
Organism: Xiphophorus hellerii (green swordtail)
Lineage: Eukaryota; Metazoa; Chordata; Actinopteri; Cyprinodontiformes; Poeciliidae
Exons: 2
Source: RefSeq, a predicted model, not a curated record
CGGGAUAAUGAGUAAAAUGCAAGCGAAGACGGAGAUGCAACAGAGGAUAAACAGACUGUCGUUAACGUGAGAUGAGAAAAAAUAAACAAAGCCCAACAGGAUUUAAGUUUAACGGCUCUGGAGAGCAGCUGGAGUUGGUGGCGUGUGCAGUUGACGGUUCCUCGGGGUGCGAGGGCUCGGCAGCGGCGGCUCCAGCUAACAUCUCGCCUGACGCUCCGAGCCUGGAAGCGCCGUUUCGCUUCAUCUCCGUCCAAGGACAAUAAACAGAAAGUGGAAGCGCAGGCGGGCAGCAGCGAGCACACGAGGCCCGAGUGCAGAGUGACCUAACGUGAGUCAGGAUGACCUUUGAAGAGCUGCACAGACGGAGCCUUCUGCCGUCUGAUGAGAGCAGAAAAGCAGAGAGGCAGGGAUCUCUCUGCUGAACUCGCUUUCAUUUCACUACAAACUGGAUUAAAACCAGCGAGAUAUGAAAUGAAAAUGUGGUAUGACCUUAGGGACAUGUGCGACUGGAGUGGAGGUGACGGGUGUCUGAAGGUCAGAUGGAGGCAGAGGUGUUGGAGGUGAGUGGAGGAGGAGCAGGAGGAGGACGGGAUUCUGUGGCGGUGGCAGCUCUGUGGUUAUCAGCCGCUCUUCCUUUCUUUCACAUCAGCACUUUCCAUUUAUGUGGCUCCGUGCUGAUCGUCAUAAAUCAGACCUCUGAGCGAUUCUAGUCCAAUGCUAAAAAUACGACGCCGUCCCAAAUGCAUCGAUUAGGUUGCUUUUAUUCCAAAAACCCUUCAAAACAAAACAGAGCUACGAAAAUGAAUUCAACGGCAUUAUUAAUGUUGUCAUUAUUUUUGUAUUUCUGUCAAUUUUUUAUUUGAAUUUUUCCUCGGUCGACUGCAAGACAAGUCGUCACGUUGACAUGAUAAAGUUUGUCUUGAUCUUAAUGUUUUUCUUGUCCCAGUUGUUGGGCAAACAACUGGGAUCUAUGAACACAAAGCACUUUUUAAAAUUUUGUUUAUUUAUCGCAAGCCAUAUCAUUACUGCAACAUUCAUCAAUAUUAUAGCACACCUGGGCCUGUUGCAUUAAAUCAAUUAAUCGAAUAAUAAAAUAAAACAAGCUCAAUAA